Molecule: long non-coding RNA, 5601 nt
Filed under: Nicotiana tabacum (common tobacco)
Lineage: Eukaryota; Viridiplantae; Streptophyta; Magnoliopsida; Solanales; Solanaceae
Description: long non-coding RNA (NTAB_LNC009699)
Source: RNAcentral
CAAUAGAUCAAACAAGAAAUUAGUAUUAAAGUCUCUUACAAGAGUGUGCUCCCUAAUCCUGAAAGGGAUCGCCUCCUACAUUUAAAAAUUCGUUUACAAUAUUAAUCUUGUAGAAAAAAUUUAAUCAUAUCAAGUUCCUCUUAGCCAAAACGAUCAGAGACAUAAGGCAUUUAUAUACUACUACCUCUAAUCCAGUUUAAAUGUCUAUUAAGGUUAUGGCACACCCAUUAAGAAAACCAUUUAAUAACAAUAAUUAUAAGGGUUAUUUGACAAUGUUACACUUUAUAUCUCUUCAAGUUACCCUUUAUCGCUCCUCAGACUUUUUAUGUCAAUAUUAUUAGAGCAAGGCUAGAUUUGGAAAAAAAUAAUUAAUGUCUUCUUGGUGUCCUAAAAUGACACUUUGGCAAAAUUUUGAAAAGCUAUAACGACAUUUAAAAUGGUCCGGAGAUGGUACUAUUUCUUUGAUAUGGUAAACCUAACCCCAAACCUCGUACCCGGAGCCCGAUAGUGGCUCUUUUCUCAGGUUUCUCCAUUGGUGCAUCGAACCCAAUAUUUGUCACGUCCCAAGCUAGCCCCUAGACGUGACUGGCAUCCAGCUAACACUACCCACUAGGCGAACCAAUUCAUGUACUCUUAACCUUUUAUAUAAGCAUUGAGAGAAACACGUACUAGUCCAAACGCAUUAAAUAUUACUAAAUACGAAAUAAUUAUCCAACUAAAACCAUAAUUUAUUUAUAAAUUCUAAUGAGCACUCAAAUAAUAAAUCUCUAACCCAAAUUUCAUAUUAAGACCAUGGAUCACCUAACAGAGUAAUAGAAGUUUAAUUGACGGGCAUGCAAACCCGAACAAAAUAAUAGACAUAAGAUAGGUAGAGCUGAAAUAGCGGCCUACACGAAUAGUGCGGCGGCUCACCUCAGCAAUAGAAUCCACUCAACGAACUCGUUAGCCACUAGCCUCGUCCUCAGCAACAGUAUCUGCAUGGACAUGCAGGUAAGGAAUGAGUUAUACGUAAAUAUAACCAAGUAAGAUCUUCGACCCGCCACUUUACAUACUCCUGGAACAAGUGUUAGAAAAUACAAAUACACAACGAGCAGAGAAAUAAUAUGCAUAGAAAAUCUUUCAUCAUAUAAUUACUCCAUAAGGUCCAACCAAUUAUUCAGUAACAACAAUAUAUAUAUCUCAGCACAAUCUAUACUAAGGACUUGUCAUAAACGACAGUAAAGGAAAUUAACCGAACACCCCAACGAGUCCACGGCAGCAUACACACCCAAAUAUAUUACGGCAGCAAAGACAUAAUUUCUAACGCCCCAACGCCAUAGCACGAGGCUACGCCACGCCAAAAAUCACUUAUUAAAUAAUUUCAGCUUUUUCACAAAAUAAUACAUAUUUGCGCCUGGUCUAAGACCACCGAUUCUGCCAAGCACACGCUCAUCCCAACACAUGGACCAGGCAGACAAAACAUAUUUUCAAAACAGGUUUUGGAAAAGCAAGCAUCAAAGCUUAAAGUAUCACUUACCUCGCUAACGGGAGUGCCCCAACCUUGCAAUGUCUAAAACACCAAACAAACGGCCUCCAAUGGUUUCAAUCUAUUCAAAAAAUUGAAUAACACGUCCUCUACGUGAAAAAAUCUAACAAUUUUAGAACAAGCCAAAAUUAAAGUAAACCCUCGGCGUAAUUAAUAAAAACUUUUACGCAAUUAAAUGCCAAACGAGGGGACUGUAACGCUGCAGUCCAAGAAGAACUUCACGUGCUUGUACCAUUGUUUUCUUUCUACCAUGCAAAAUCCCAUAACUUUCAUAUAAUAGCUAAAUUCCCAAUCAUUGUUCUCAUCAUUACUUGUUCAUUACUAUAAUAAUUUCUCCACACCCUUGUCUUAAUUAUUGUUAACAUAUACAUGGUAACAAUAUUACUCAUAUUAGUUCACUACACUGCUGAAGCGUAGGAGUAUAUAUAAAUUACUUGAUUACUUAGAUUCUUUCUACCAUAGUUAAAGACAAUUAAUUGUUAUUGCCCCUAGUUUCUCAAGUCAAAUUAGCUUAAUUAUAUUACAUUAGAAUAUACCAUAUUAGCCUUGCUAUGUCAACAACAACACUUAAUCAUCCUUUAGCCACCAAUGUUCUAAGACAGUAAAGUCCAAAUAAUUCCUCCAUACACCAGUUCAGUUUGCAAUCCCACGCUACAUAAUUUUACAAGCUUACAAAUUAUUGCUAUAACAAUUGGUCAUGUAAUUAUCACCCUAAUCAUUGGCUUAUACACUUUAUUAUAACCAAAAAAAUCAAUUCAAAAGGCAUAACAAAGUUUAGUAUUACCUGAACUUUGGUUUCUUCUUAAUUUGGUGUGGAUUCCAUAGAGGAUCCUUGGCCGUCGUUCUCCAAGCCAACGUGUGCUCUUUCUUUUUUCUUUUUCUUUCUUUUUCUCAUAGUAGGGAACUUGAAUUUCCAUCUAUAUACCCUAGAGUAAGUUUACAUGACCCACUAGUAAAUUGUGGGCCUGACACACUUACAUCUUUACAAAAAAAUUAACCAGUCACUUUCUUUAAAUUCUUAAUUUGUAAACUAGCCACUUGUUAAUACACUAUCUUAUCUUGUAUACUAGCUUAGUAUUUGACUUAAUAGCUACAAAUAAAAUUAAUUCUUAAAUCUCACAAUUAAUAAUUAUAUAAAAAUAUUUCGGGUUAUUACAAUAUUAUCUUUGGAGGUGGAGGAUCUUACCUCCCUCCCUUAUCACAUCUAUAUACUACUUAUAGGAAGAGCUUUUAGGAGUUAUACAUUAACGUUGAGUAUUCAGGUACCAUGCUCCAAUCAUACCUCAUUUCCAAAAGACAAUAGUAGUCAUAUAAUCCCCAUAGUCGAAUAUCGGGUUAACACAGAAACUUGAAAUUAAGGCUAAAAGAGAAUCCUAAAAAGCAUUUCAAAGCUCUGGGUGAAUAAGGACAAAUCAAAGCACCGGUACCUGCUAUUCUAUUUUAGAAACCUAACCAUUAUGUCAAUAAGAACUACAAGCCCAAGGAAAAAUUCGACUUUUAUCCUUAACUCCUCCGCAUUUAUGUUGGUUCCACUCUAUUUCCCUUUUCUUUUUUUCCAAGUAAAUGAGACUAUGUUUCCAUUCCAUUGCAUCUAUCACAGAAAUAACACAUUUUCUUCUGUCCCUUUUUCUGCUUAAUCUCUAGGGUAAAUUAUCCAUCCACCAAAAAAUGUAAUUAAGAGGCUAUAUUUAUGAAUCUUCAAGUAAAGACAUAUUGACACUUGAAACUGCACAACCGAGAAUUUCCCAUCUGAACGAUCAGCACCUACAAUCCUAAAUGAGCAAAAUAUGUAUUUUCAUUUUUACUACUGCUAGAAAACUAAACACUCAGACCCCUAUACUACUAAGGGCAAAACUCAUCUUCUGUAAAUUAUUCUGAGUUAAGCGAGCCUCUCGGGUGACAAUCCAUCCAAAAUAGGCAACUUUGACAGGGGCCUUAGUUCUCCGGAUACUCUUCCAAGGCCAAUUUGGAACCCCCUGACCAGAAAGAUUUUGUAGCAGCUUAUAGCAAGUAUUAACAAAGAACAAAUUGUCCUUAUUAUUCACCCAAAUCAAACCAUCCUGCUUAUUUUGAUCCACUGAAAUUGACUCCAACUGUUGAAUGAGUUGACGGUAACCUUCUAUCUCCCAAUCAUUUAAGUUUCUCCUGAAUUAUAUUUGUCAUCCUGACUGAGUGAAAAUCAGAUACAAAGCCAUCCAUAUUCACAGAACAACUGAAUAAAUCUGCUUCUCAAACUAUAAUUCCCAAUCCAAGUAUCCAAAUCUUAAUUCUAUCCCAUUUCCCAUAACUUAGUAUGUUGCAAGAAUUCUUCCCACAACCCCACUAAUACCCUUCCAGGCUCCCCCUGCAACCCUCAGCUGUAUGGGACUUUGUCUCCAAUCCAGGGUCUUUUUUUAAAGAAUAUUAAUUAUUUGAAAAAAAAAUACAAGUUUUAAGGAAAGGGGCCCGUUGGAGAACAAUUAGAAAACGAAUAUAUUUUUGGGAUCCACUCCUUAUUUGCGUGUGAACAUCCCACAAUCUUGCCUCAUUUAUGCACCAUCAUUAUUAUAAAUGGGCCCACAUUUUUUUUAUCUCUUUUUAUCUUUCUCUGCUAAAAGUCUAUUAACUUUUACUUUUCUAUUGUUCCUUUGGCCUUCUCUAAAUUCCAAUCUCAUUGAGUCACUAUCACAAAAUAAAAGAGCAGAAACACAAGUACCAUCUUUUUUAUUUGUUCUCAAGUUUUUUGGCGUUACAUCAAGAAUAUUGAAGUAGCAAAAGUUUAUCAAGUUAUGUAUUUGUUGAAUCAGGUUUGAUUGUUCUAUAUCUUAUUAUUUGCAUAUAUUUUUAAAUUUUUUUUAUAUAUUUUCUUUGUAAGUAUAUAUUGUCUUUUUAGUUAUUUAUUAGAGUUUUAAUAUGUCAACUAGAAAAUAUGAAUCCGAGUUUUAAUAAACAAAUUAUUAAUAAUUUCGCAUCUCAAAAAGCUAACAAAAUAAAUUUCAAAUAAAAUUAUANNNNNNNNNNNNNNNNNNNNNUAUNUAUAAGUUUUCUUCUACAACAAAAAUCUUAGGGCCCCUCAUUGAAGUUUUGCUUUAGGCCACAAAUAUCAUUGAGCCGCCCUACUCCAAUCAACCAUCUUGUGAUAGAUAGUACCAAUGAGCCUUUUUCUAGAUUUCAUCACCACCCUUGUUGUAUCUCCACAACCAUUUAAACAAUAAGCUUUUAUUGUGCAAUCUCAAAUUCUUCACUCCCAAACCUCCCUCUUUCUUAUCAUUUGUAACCAUUUGCCAUUUAACUAAGUGAAUCUUCCUUUUAUUUGCAUUACCUUUCCAUAAGAAGUCAAUUCAUAUGGAGUUCAGCUUUUUCUCAACUGCUACAAGCAUAUAAAACAGACAUAUGGUAUAUGUUGGCAUUCCGUCCAGCACAGUACUAAUUAGAAUAAGUCUACCCCCAAACGGUAGAUGUUUCUUUCAUGGGGUUAACUUAUUUGUACAUCUAUCAAUUACUCCUUGCCAAAUACUUUUCUCUUUCUUCUUCACCUCUAGUGGCAAUCCCAGUUAUACUGUAGCGAAUUGUCCACCCCACAUCCCAAAAUAUCAGCUAAUUCUUCAAUAUAACCUUCAGCAUUAAUACUAAACAUACUUGCUAAUGUAUGGAUUACAGUACACAGAUAGGUUAUUGUCACGACCCAAAAUCUAACCAUGGUCGUGAUGGCGCCUAUCGUGUUACAAGGCAAGCAUAUUUCCCAAAAUAUUACUACUAAAUCGAUUAUAAGAAUUUUAUAAAACAAUACCAACAUUUGAAUUUCUCAUAAACUAAAUCAACUCUAAACAUAAUAUAGAAAAUACGGAAACGAGCCCCAAACAUCGGGGUGUCACUAAGUCACGAGCGUCUAAAACUAUAAACUAAGAUAUAUAAACUGCCUAACUGUCCAAAAGAAGAAAUGAUAAAAGUAGUAACAAGGUCCUGCGGACGCUAGCAGCUACCUUGCAAUCUCCACAAAUAGCCGUCUUGAACUCAACCAUCGCCGCGCUCUAACUCACCCGGAUCUGCACAUAAAGUGCAGGGUGUAGUAUGAGUGCAACCGACUCAGUAGUNNN